UACAGAGGUCUCAAGCGUUGUUCGGAAUUACUGGGCGUAAAGGGUGCGCAGGCCGCGCGGGCGGUCAAAUGUGUAAUUCAGGGGCUCAACCCCUGCACUGCGCUUGAUACUUCCGCGCUCGAACCUUGGAGAGGAGUCUGGAAUUCUCGGUGUAGCAGUGAAAUGCGUGGAUAUCGAGAAGAACACUUAGGGCGAAAGCAAGACUCUGGACAAGUGUUGACGCUCAUGCACGAAGGCUAGGGUAGCGAACGGG
RNAcentral lists this ribosomal RNA (253 nucleotides) under uncultured bacterium. Its description in RNAcentral is "partial 16S ribosomal RNA". It matches the Rfam family "Bacterial small subunit ribosomal RNA", at positions 524 to 776 of the family's 1533-position model. The record is from RNAcentral.